GAUGAACGCUGGCGGCGUGCCUAAUACAUGCAAGUCGAGCGAACAGAUGAGGAGCUUGCUCCUCUGACGUUAGCGGCGGACGGGUGAGUAACACGUGGAUAACCUACCUAUAAGACUGGGAUAACUUCGGGAAACCGGAGCUAAUACCGGAUAAUAUAUUGAACCGCAUGGUUCAAUAGUGAAAGACGGUUUUGCUGUCACUUAUAGAUGGAUCCGCGCCGCAUUAGCUAGUUGGUAAGGUAACGGCUUACCAAGGCAACGAUGCGUAGCCGACCUGAGAGGGGGGAGGGGACAAGGGGAAAUGGAGAAAGGGCAAGGCCCCGAGGGGGGGAAGAAAGAAGGAAAUGUCGCAAAGGGGGGAAAGAUUGAAGGAAGAACGGCGGGGUGAUGAAGAAGGGCCUCGGAUGGGAAAACCUCUGUAGUAGGGAAAAAAAAAAGGGGAAGGAACGAAGCAAGGUUGGAAGGAAACGAAAAAGAAAGCCACGGCAAACAAAG
This 495-nucleotide ribosomal RNA is filed under the name uncultured bacterium. Its description in RNAcentral is "partial 16S ribosomal RNA". The stretch from base 20 to 341 matches the Rfam family "Bacterial small subunit ribosomal RNA", at positions 47 to 358 of the family's 1533-position model. The record is from RNAcentral.